This 470-nucleotide ribosomal RNA is filed under the name Salmonella enterica. Its description in RNAcentral is "partial 23S ribosomal RNA". It matches the Rfam family "Bacterial large subunit ribosomal RNA", at positions 2380 to 2844 of the family's 2925-position model. Lineage: Bacteria; Pseudomonadati; Pseudomonadota; Gammaproteobacteria; Enterobacterales; Enterobacteriaceae. The record is from RNAcentral.
CGUGACGGCGCGAGCAGGUGCGAAAGCAGGUCAUAGUGAUCCGGUGGUUCUGAAUGGAAGGGCCAUCGCUCAACGGAUAAAAGGUACUCCGGGGAUAACAGGCUGAUACCGCCCAAGAGUUCAUAUCGACGGCGGUGUUUGGCACCUCGAUGUCGGCUCAUCACAUCCUGGGGCUGAAGUAGGUCCCAAGGGUAUGGCUGUUCGCCAUUUAAAGUGGUACGCGAGCUGGGUUUAGAACGUCGUGAGACAGUUCGGUCCCUAUCUGCCGUGGGCGCUGGAGAACUGAGGGGGGCUGCUCCUAGUACGAGAGGACCGGAGUGGACGCAUCACUGGUGUUCGGGUUGUCAUGCCAAUGGCACUGCCCGGUAGCUAAAUGCGGAAGAGAUAAGUGCUGAAAGCAUCUAAGCACGAAACUUGCCCCGAGAUGAGUUCUCCCUGAGACUUAGAGUCUCCUGAAGGAACGUUGAAGA